RNAcentral lists this ribosomal RNA (2900 nucleotides) under Klebsiella pneumoniae. Its description in RNAcentral is "bacterial LSU rRNA". It matches the Rfam family "Bacterial large subunit ribosomal RNA". The record is from RNAcentral. Lineage: Bacteria; Pseudomonadati; Pseudomonadota; Gammaproteobacteria; Enterobacterales; Enterobacteriaceae.
UUAAGCGACUAAGCGUACACGGUGGAUGCCCUGGCAGUCAGAGGCGAUGAAGGACGUGCUAAUCUGCGAAAAGCGUCGGUAAGGUGAUAUGAACCGUUACAGCCGGCGAUGUCCGAAUGGGGAAACCCAGUGUGAUUCGUCACACUAUCGUUAACUGAAUACAUAGGUUAACGAGGCGAACCGGGGGAACUGAAACAUCUAAGUACCCCGAGGAAAAGAAAUCAACCGAGAUUCCCCCAGUAGCGGCGAGCGAACGGGGAGCAGCCCAGAGUCUGAAUCAGCUUGUGUGUUAGUGGAACGGUCUGGAAAGUCCGACGGUACAGGGUGAUAGUCCCGUACACCAAAAUGCACAGGCUGUGAACUCGAAGAGUAGGGCGGGACACGUGGUAUCCUGUCUGAAUAUGGGGGGACCAUCCUCCAAGGCUAAAUACUCCUGACUGACCGAUAGUGAACCAGUACCGUGAGGGAAAGGCGAAAAGAACCCCGGCGAGGGGAGUGAAAAAGAACCUGAAACCGUGUACGUACAAGCAGUGGGAGCACCUUCGGGUGUGACUGCGUACCUUUUGUAUAAUGGGUCAGCGACUUAUAUUCUGUAGCAAGGUUAACCGUAUAGGGGAGCCGCAGGGAAACCGAGUCUUAACUGGGCGUUAAGUUGCAGGGUAUAGACCCGAAACCCGGUGAUCUAGCCAUGGGCAGGUUGAAGGUUGGGUAACACUAACUGGAGGACCGAACCGACUAAUGUUGAAAAAUUAGCGGAUGACUUGUGGCUGGGGGUGAAAGGCCAAUCAAACCGGGAGAUAGCUGGUUCUCCCCGAAAGCUAUUUAGGUAGCGCCUCGUGAACUCAUCUUCGGGGGUAGAGCACUGUUUCGGCUAGGGGGUCAUCCCGACUUACCAACCCGAUGCAAACUACGAAUACCGAAGAAUGUUAUCACGGGAGACACACGGCGGGUGCUAACGUCCGUCGUGAAGAGGGAAACAACCCAGACCGCCAGCUAAGGUCCCAAAGUCAUGGUUAAGUGGGAAACGAUGUGGGAAGGCACAGACAGCCAGGAUGUUGGCUUAGAAGCAGCCAUCAUUUAAAGAAAGCGUAAUAGCUCACUGGUCGAGUCGGCCUGCGCGGAAGAUGUAACGGGGCUAAACCAUGCACCGAAGCUGCGGCAGCGACACUAUGUGUUGUUGGGUAGGGGAGCGUUCUGUAAGCCUGCGAAGGUGACCUGUGAGGGUUGCUGGAGGUAUCAGAAGUGCGAAUGCUGACAUAAGUAACGAUAAAGCGGGUGAAAAGCCCGCUCGCCGGAAGACCAAGGGUUCCUGUCCAACGUUAAUCGGGGCAGGGUGAGUCGACCCCUAAGGCGAGGCCGAAAGGCGUAGUCGAUGGGAAACAGGUUAAUAUUCCUGUACUUGGUGUUACUGCGAAGGGGGGACGGAGAAGGCUAUGUUAGCCGGGCGACGGUUGUCCCGGUUUAAGCAUGUAGGCUGAUUGUCCAGGCAAAUCCGGAUAAUCAAGGCUGAGGUGUGAUGACGAGGCACUACGGUGCUGAAGUAACAAAUGCCCUGCUUCCAGGAAAAGCCUCUAAGCAUCAGGUAACAUUAAAUCGUACCCCAAACCGACACAGGUGGUCAGGUAGAGAAUACCAAGGCGCUUGAGAGAACUCGGGUGAAGGAACUAGGCAAAAUGGUGCCGUAACUUCGGGAGAAGGCACGCUGGUGUGUAGGUGAAGUCCCUGCGGAUGGAGCUGAGACCAGUCGAAGAUACCAGCUGGCUGCAACUGUUUAUUAAAAACACAGCACUGUGCAAACACGAAAGUGGACGUAUACGGUGUGACGCCUGCCCGGUGCCGGAAGGUUAAUUGAUGGGGUUAUCCGUAAGGAGAAGCUCUUGAUCGAAGCCCCGGUAAACGGCGGCCGUAACUAUAACGGUCCUAAGGUAGCGAAAUUCCUUGUCGGGUAAGUUCCGACCUGCACGAAUGGCGUAAUGAUGGCCAGGCUGUCUCCACCCGAGACUCAGUGAAAUUGAACUCGCUGUGAAGAUGCAGUGUACCCGCGGCAAGACGGAAAGACCCCGUGAACCUUUACUAUAGCUUGACACUGAACAUUGAGCCUUGAUGUGUAGGAUAGGUGGGAGGCUUUGAAGCGUGGACGCCAGUCUGCGUGGAGCCAACCUUGAAAUACCACCCUUUAAUGUUUGAUGUUCUAACGUUGGCCCCUUACCGGGGUUGCGGACAGUGUCUGGUGGGUAGUUUGACUGGGGCGGUCUCCUCCCAAAGCGUAACGGAGGAGCACGAAGGUUAGCUAAUCCUGGUCGGACAUCAGGAGGUUAGUGCAAUGGCAUAAGCUAGCUUGACUGCGAGCGUGACGGCGCGAGCAGGUGCGAAAGCAGGUCAUAGUGAUCCGGUGGUUCUGAAUGGAAGGGCCAUCGCUCAACGGAUAAAAGGUACUCCGGGGAUAACAGGCUGAUACCGCCCAAGAGUUCAUAUCGACGGCGGUGUUUGGCACCUCGAUGUCGGCUCAUCACAUCCUGGGGCUGAAGUAGGUCCCAAGGGUAUGGCUGUUCGCCAUUUAAAGUGGUACGCGAGCUGGGUUUAGAACGUCGUGAGACAGUUCGGUCCCUAUCUGCCGUGGGCGCUGGAGAAUUGAGGGGGGCUGCUCCUAGUACGAGAGGACCGGAGUGGACGCAUCACUGGUGUUCGGGUUGUCAUGCCAAUGGCACUGCCCGGUAGCUAAAUGCGGAAGAGAUAAGUGCUGAAAGCAUCUAAGCACGAAACUUGCCCCGAGAUGAGUUCUCCCUGAGACUUUAAGUCUCCUGAAGGAACGUUAAAGACGAUGACGUUGAUAGGCCGGGUGUGUAAGCGCAGCGAUGCGUUGAGCUAACCGGUACUAAUGAACCGUGAGGCUUAACCUU